CAGUCGCCGCGGUAAUACGAAGGGGGCUAGCGUUGUUCGGAUUUACUGGGCGUAAAGCGCACGUAGGCGGAUUCUUAAGUCAGAGGUGAAAUCCCAAGGCUCAACCUUGGAACUGCCUUUGAUACUGGGGAUCUUGAGUUCGGGAGAGGUGAGUGGAACUGCGAGUGUAGAGGUGAAAUUCGUAGAUAUUCGCAAGAACACCAGUGGCGAAGGCGGCUCACUGGCCCGAUACUGACGCUGAGGUGCGAAAGCGUGGGGAGCAAACAGGAUUAGAUACCCGCGUAGUCCCUGUCUUUAUACA
This 301-nucleotide ribosomal RNA is filed under the name uncultured bacterium. RNAcentral describes it as "partial 16S ribosomal RNA". It matches the Rfam family "Bacterial small subunit ribosomal RNA", at positions 509 to 809 of the family's 1533-position model. The record is from RNAcentral.